This 253-nucleotide ribosomal RNA is filed under the name uncultured bacterium. RNAcentral's name for it is "partial 16S ribosomal RNA". It matches the Rfam family "Bacterial small subunit ribosomal RNA", at positions 524 to 776 of the family's 1533-position model. The record is from RNAcentral.
UACGUAGGGUGCGAGCGUUGUCCGGAAUUACUGGGCGUAAAGAGCUCGUAGGUGGUUUGUCGCGUUGUUCGUGAAAUCUCACGGCUUAACUGUGAGCGUGCGGGCGAUACGGGCAGACUAGAGUACUGCAGGGGAGACUGGAAUUCCUGGUGUAGCGGUGGAAUGCGCAGAUAUCAGGAGGGACACCGGUGGCGAAGGCGGGUCUCUGGGCAGUAACUGACGCUGAGGAGCGAAAGCGUGGGGAGCGAACAGG